UGUGUAUGAGCCUGUGGAGGACACGUUUCUGCUUCUGGACGUACUCCAGGUAGCGGCUGCCGAGCUGGCGGGAGUGGAAAUAUGCCUGGAAAUAGGGGCAGGGUCUGGUGUAGUAUCUGCAUUCCUAGCCUCUGUGAUAGGUCCUCAGGCUUUGUACAUGUGCACUGAUAUCAACCCUGAGGCAGCAGCUUGUACCCUAAAGACAGCACGGUGUAACAAAGUCCACAUUCAACCAGUUAUUACAGAUGUGGUCAAAUGUUUGCUACCAAUAUUGAAGGAAAAGUUGAUCUUCUGGUGUUUAAUCCCCUCUAUGUAGUGACUCCACCUGAAGAGGUAGGAAGUCAUGGAAUAGAGGCAGCUUGGGCUGCUGGCAGAAAUGGUCAGGAAGUCAUGCACAGGUUUUUCCCCCUUGUUCCAGAUCUCCUUUCACCAAAAGGAUUAUUCUAUUUAGUUACCAUUAAAGAAAACAACCCAGAAGACAUUUGGAAAAUAAUGAAGACAAAAGGUCUGCAAGGAACCACUGCACUUUCCAGACAAGCAGGCCAAGAAACUUUCAGUCCUCAAGUUCACCAAG
Molecule: long non-coding RNA, 574 nt
Filed under: Homo sapiens (human)
Lineage: Eukaryota; Metazoa; Chordata; Mammalia; Primates; Hominidae
Description: non-protein coding lnc-SMCO4-2:1
Source: RNAcentral